Long non-coding RNA from Rhineura floridana, 1305 nucleotides. RefSeq lists it as uncharacterized. The record is from RefSeq and is a predicted model, not a curated record. The transcript has 3 exons. Lineage: Eukaryota; Metazoa; Chordata; Lepidosauria; Squamata; Rhineuridae.
CACAGUUGCCACAAAUUGCUUUUCAGGAUAUCCUGGUGAGAGGUAGAUAUGCAGCCAAAACUUCAAAUCCAAACUUUAAAGUACCCCUGAGGUCCAAGUCUUAUCCCUCUACACAGACUGAGUUUGUUUCCCUUUGUUAGAUGCAUUUGAUUGUAGAUGUUGAAAUCUUUCCAGAAGCACAGACUGUCAUGUCAUUCUGGCCAACUGAUAAUCAAAGUAGAGGCAGUUACAGUAUCUCAAGACAACUCAGUAUUGCGUCACCGUCUGGAAGCAGGUUUUCUAGCGUGAAGGAUGGCCAAAUUCUAAUCGCUGGGGAACUACAUACUUCAGUGCUAGCUGCUCAGAUUCCAGUACAUGCACAGUCCACCAGAAAGAUCUACUGCUAUAAGACCUAGGGAGGCUGGAACCAUGCAUCUGUCUAGGACAGGGUUCACAUGCUGGUUGGGGCUGAUGGGAGCUGGAAUUCAAAAGCAACUGGAGGCGCACAGGUUUGCCACCCCUGGAGUAAAACUUGAAGAUGGAGUGGCAUGGAAGCUACCUAGCUGGCCUUCUGCUAUAGGCUUUUGCUGUCCAAGGAAGAAUUAGCGUUCCUAAUAUGGGAUCAAGAUAGUGCUUCAUAGAAUUCUUGGAACCAGACAGAAUAGUGAUGUCAUGCGUGGCCCAGAGAUCACCAGUUUGUCCACUCUGCUAUAUUCCAUGAAAAGCAAUAAAGACAGAACACAUGUAUACUGCAUCUCACAUCAGAUUUGUAAGAGCCUUUACAUGACUUCUUUUUUUCCAGGAAAUUGGAUGGAGAAACAUUAGUGUUCAGGUAGGCAAGGCCUAUUUGGCAUGUAGAAAAAGUUGUGCAAGAAAAUGUUAUUGUAUGUAACUAUGUAUUCAUUUUGAGUGCUCCCUCCUCCCCAUCUCCUGCCCUCCAUUUCACACGCAGUGACUCCCCUGGGAACCACAUAAGAAUUAAAAGUAGAAAUGAAUGGGAUUGAUGAUGGCUCUAUGCAUCUGCAACAGUUUUUGCUGUGUGAAAUGUCUAGAAGUGUUCCAUAGACAGGAUAAUUUAUUGCAUAUUUGAGCUGUGACAUAAUCCAUAAUCCAGCCAUAAUCCUCUCUUGUGUAACUAAGUGUUUGAAUGAAGCCCCACCAGAGCAGCUGCUUUUGAAGUGCCAUGUCGUUAACCAUUUUGGAAAAACAACAAAUAUCAGAUGAUCCUGCCCCUUCAUAAUGAUUUCUCUUUGUAUACUUUGGAUUCAUCACUUGCCAACAUUUGUUUUUGACUGACUUCAUGUUACAUCUAACAAACAUAUAUAA